This 253-nucleotide ribosomal RNA is filed under the name uncultured bacterium. RNAcentral describes it as "partial 16S ribosomal RNA". It matches the Rfam family "Bacterial small subunit ribosomal RNA", at positions 524 to 776 of the family's 1533-position model. The record is from RNAcentral.
UACAGAGGGUGCGAGCGUUAAUCGGAAUUACUGGGCGUAAAGCGUGCGUAGACGGUUAUUUAAGUCGGGUGUGAAAGCCCCGGGCUCAACCUGGGAAUUGCAUUCGAGACUGAAUAGCUAGGGUACGGUAGAGGGGAGUGGAAUUCCCGGUGUAGCGGUGAAAUGCGUAGAUAUCGGGAGGAACAUCAGUGGCGAAGGCGGCUACCUGGCCCAAUACUGACAUUCAGGUGCGACAGCGUGGGGAGCAAACAGG